Molecule: ribosomal RNA, 495 nt
Filed under: uncultured bacterium
Lineage: Bacteria
Description: partial 16S ribosomal RNA
Rfam family: Bacterial small subunit ribosomal RNA
Source: RNAcentral
GAUGAACGCUAGCGGGAGGCCUAACACAUGCAAGCUGAGCGGUAUUGUUUCUUCGGAAACGAGAGAGCGGCGUACGGGUGCGGAACACGUGUGCAACCUGCCUUUAUCAGGGGGAUAGCCUUUCGAAAGGAAGAUUAAUACUCCAUAAUAUAAUAGAUGGCAUCAUUUAUUAUUGAAAACUCCGGUGGAUAGAGAUGGGCACGCGCAAGAUUAGAUAGUUGGUGAGGUAACGGCUCACCAAGUCAAUGAUCUUUAGGGGGCCUGAGAGGGUGAUCCCCCACACUGGUACUGAGACACGGACCAGACUCCUACGGGAGGCAGCAGUGAGGAAUAUUGGACAAUGGGUUAGCGCCUGAUCCAGCCAUCCCGCGUGAAGGACGACGGCCCUAUGGGUUGUAAACUUCUUUUGUACAGGGAUAAACCUAUCUACGUGUAGAUAGCUGAAGGUACUGUACGAAUAAGCACCGGCUAACUCCGUGCCAGCAGCCGCGGUAA